UACAGAGGGUGCGAGCGUUGUCCGGAAUCACUGGGCGUAAAGGGCGCGUAGGUGGCGUGGUAAGCGUGCGGUGAAAUCGCGGGGCUCAACCCCGCGCCGGCCGUGCGAACUGCCGCGCUCGAGCACUGUAGAGGCGGGUGGAAUUCCGGGUGUAGCGGUGGAAUGCGUAGAGAUCCGGAAGAACACCGGUGGCGAAGGCGGCCCGCUGGGCAGUGGCUGACACUGAGGCGCGACAGCGUGGGGAGCAAACAGG
RNAcentral lists this ribosomal RNA (253 nucleotides) under uncultured bacterium. RNAcentral describes it as "partial 16S ribosomal RNA". It matches the Rfam family "Bacterial small subunit ribosomal RNA", at positions 524 to 776 of the family's 1533-position model. The record is from RNAcentral.